RNAcentral lists this ribosomal RNA (34 nucleotides) under uncultured Glomus. RNAcentral's name for it is "partial 28S ribosomal RNA". The record is from RNAcentral. Lineage: Eukaryota; Fungi; Glomeromycota; Glomeromycetes; Glomerales; Glomeraceae.
UAUAACGUCAAAUUUUUACUGGGUGCGAACACGU